CAUGGAAACAAACCAUGUUCAGAUAAUAUGAUAAGGGAGAUCUUGAGUGGAAUAUAUAUCAAUAACAAAACAAGCCAACCCUUUAAACUGGGAAAAAAAAUGGAUCUACUGUAGAAAUGCUCCACAAGAAUCUCGUGAAACCCCACCAUUGGAAAAAUCCUUACCAGCAUUCAUACUAUCGGAUCUAAAAGCAAAAGACUGGAGACGCUGUCUUGCACUGGCUGCAGCAGCAAUGGACUCUUCAUCUUGCUUUUCCUUUGCAGC
This 264-nucleotide unclassified non-coding RNA is filed under the name Hevea brasiliensis (rubber tree). The record is from RNAcentral. Lineage: Eukaryota; Viridiplantae; Streptophyta; Magnoliopsida; Malpighiales; Euphorbiaceae.